UUGCACAGGUGCUGCAUGGCUGUCGUCAGCUCGUGUCGUGAGAUGUUCGGUUAAGUCCGCUAACGAGCGCAACCCUCGCUGUGUGUUAUAUGUGUCACACGGGACUGCCGGUCUUAAGCCGGAGGAAGUGGGAUGAUGUCAAGUCAGCAUGGCCUUUAUAUCCCUGGGCUACACACACGCUACAAUGGCCAACACAAUAGGUUGCUAAGCCGCGAGGUGGCGCCAAUCCAUAAAGUUGGUCUCAGUUCAGAUUGUAGGCUGCAACCCGCCUGCAUGAAGAUGGAGUUGCUAGUAACCGCAGGUCAGCUAUACUGCGGUGAAUACGUUCCCGGGGCUU
Molecule: ribosomal RNA, 337 nt
Filed under: uncultured Leptolinea sp.
Lineage: Bacteria; Bacillati; Chloroflexota; Anaerolineae; Anaerolineales; Anaerolineaceae
Description: bacterial SSU rRNA
Rfam family: Bacterial small subunit ribosomal RNA
Source: RNAcentral